RNAcentral lists this ribosomal RNA (332 nucleotides) under uncultured bacterium. RNAcentral's name for it is "bacterial SSU rRNA". It matches the Rfam family "Bacterial small subunit ribosomal RNA", at positions 568 to 898 of the family's 1533-position model. The record is from RNAcentral.
CAUGUAGGCGGUCUGCUAAGUUCGGAGUGACAGUCACCAGCUUAACUGGUGAAGUGCUUUGAAAACUGGCUGACUUGAGAGCGAGAGAGGGACAUGGAAUUCCGGGUGGAGUGGUGAAAUGCGUAGAGAUCCGGAGGAACACCAAAGGCGAAGGCAGUGUCCUGGCUCGUUUCUGACGCUGAGGUGCGAAAGCCAGGGGAGCGAACGGGAUUAGAUACCCCGGUAGUCCUGGCCGUAAACGAUGACCACCAGGCGUGGGAGGGAUCGACCCCUUCCGUGCCGUAGUCAACACAUUAAGUGGUCCGCCUGGGGAGUACGGUCGCAAGACUAAA